Molecule: transfer RNA, 64 nt
Filed under: Watersipora subtorquata
Lineage: Eukaryota; Metazoa; Bryozoa; Gymnolaemata; Cheilostomatida; Watersiporidae
Description: tRNA-Thr
Source: RNAcentral
GUAAGUUAAGCUUUUUACUUGAAGCUCCGGUUUUGUAAAUCGAUGAACAUUUUAUGUACUUACU